CGGGGUAUAGUAUAGUGGUAGUACGCUGGCUUCGGGAGUCAGUAGCCCCGGUUCGAAUCCGGGUACCCCGA
Non-coding RNA from Parcubacteria group bacterium, 71 nucleotides. The record is from Rfam.